GGAGAGGUGCCUGAGCGGUUGAAGGGGCCGGUCUCGAAAACCGGUAGGCGAUUUAUCGCCUCGUGAGUUCGAAUCUCACCCUCUCCG
RNAcentral lists this transfer RNA (87 nucleotides) under Candidatus Omnitrophota bacterium. Its description in RNAcentral is "tRNA-Ser". It matches the Rfam family "tRNA". From Rfam's summary of the family: Transfer RNA (tRNA) molecules are approximately 80 nucleotides in length. Their secondary structure includes four short double-helical elements and three loops (D, anti-codon, and T loops). RNAcentral also lists the same sequence under 1 other name. The record is from RNAcentral. Lineage: Bacteria; Pseudomonadati; Candidatus Omnitrophota.